UCCUCAGUAUCCACAAGCUUCCGGCCAGCAGUGCCUCGGACAUCAGCUUCCCCAUGAAGGGCUGGCGGGCCACGGGAGACUGGGCCAAGGUGCCGGAGGACAGGGUGACCGUGUCCAAGAGCGUCUUCUCCACAGGGCUGGCAGGUGAGGGCCUCCAGGGCAGGGGCUGCUAGGGAACUCAGGCCCCAGAGUUGGAGGACCUGUCACCUGAGCAGUCCCUCUGGGGCCCAGCUCCCUGCCCCGAGGGGCAGGGCUGCAUCCUUGUUACUUCCUGGUGCUCUGGAGUUCAUCCCCCUACAGGGGGACAGUGCCUGGUGGUCACCUGGAACCCCGGUGGGCUGAGCUAAGUGACCGGUGGACCAGCUCUCUGCGGGGGGGGGGCUGGCUGGACUUGUGGGGGCAAGGGUCCCCAUUCCCGGGGGAGAAGCGAGUCCUGCCUGCCCUGCAGCCCUCGGUGUCACUCCAGGAGGGCGCAGCUCUCCCUCUCCCACAGGGGACCCAGGCAGUUGCCCCAGGUCCCAGCCAUAACUGUUCUGGGUGGAAGGGCCUGCAGAUGGGCAGGGCAGUGGGCCCAGGGCAGCAGGCAGCAUGGGUGGGGUGACCGUGUGCUUCCUUCCAGAGGCCGACGACACCUCCGUGUUCGUGGUGGGCACUGUGCUAUACCGGAACCUGGGCAGCUUCCUGGCCCUGCAGAGGUGGGCAGGUGGGGUGGACGAGCCCUCCACAGGAGGCGUGAGGGAGCCUUGGGCGGGUGGGCUGGCCUCGAGGGGCCAGGAGGGCAGAGGCCCGGAGCAGGGGUGGAGGGGCCAGCUCCUGGGGAGGCCGGGCUACAGACCAGCCCCUGACGUUGCUGCUUCCCACCAGGAACACCACAGUCCUGAACUCCAAGGUCAUCUCGGUGACCGUGAAGCCCCCGCCUCGCUCCCUGCUCACACCCCUGGAGAUCGAGUUUGCCCACAUGUACAA
Molecule: long non-coding RNA, 966 nt
Filed under: Marmota monax (woodchuck)
Lineage: Eukaryota; Metazoa; Chordata; Mammalia; Rodentia; Sciuridae
Source: RNAcentral